This 208-nucleotide long non-coding RNA is filed under the name Malus domestica (apple). RNAcentral's name for it is "long non-coding RNA (MDOM_LNC019513)". The record is from RNAcentral. Lineage: Eukaryota; Viridiplantae; Streptophyta; Magnoliopsida; Rosales; Rosaceae.
AGAUGACUAGCUAAUCACCUCCAAGGUGUUGGCCUCUUUAGAGAGAAAAUGGAGAGACAAUUCUCACCAAUUUUCCCCAAAAAUAAACCCUUAUUUCACUUAAUGAAUAUUUGGCUAUAAAGUCAUUUAUAUAGUCACUUCUUUAAGUGACCUAAACAACCAAAAACCCUAAUUCAUUCCUUAUGGCCGGCCAUUUAGGGAUUUUUGG